This 254-nucleotide long non-coding RNA is filed under the name Lathyrus oleraceus (garden pea). RNAcentral describes it as "Pisum sativum (pea) long non-coding RNA (PSAT_LNC024831)". Lineage: Eukaryota; Viridiplantae; Streptophyta; Magnoliopsida; Fabales; Fabaceae. The record is from RNAcentral.
CAUUCCCCACCGCCUUAAAGACAUUCUCUAUCGAAAUCUGAGCCAGAAGGAGACCGACCAAGACAUUAGGAUCGUCAUUGUCGGAGAUUUUAAAUUAUCUUAGAGAUUUUCUAAUGCUUACUCUAAUCCUGGACAUGAAGAAUAAGAAAAUCUUUUUUCUUUUCCUUACUUGUGUUAGAUUUUGAAAUAUUUUUCAUUUUUCUAUCUAUUUUUUCAAAAAGUACUAGUUAAAAAUGAAAUAAAUAGGGAAUAAU